Molecule: ribosomal RNA, 497 nt
Filed under: uncultured bacterium
Lineage: Bacteria
Description: partial 16S ribosomal RNA
Rfam family: Bacterial small subunit ribosomal RNA
Source: RNAcentral
GACGAACGCUGGCGGCGUGCCUAAUACAUGCAAGUAGAACGCUGAAGAGAGGAGCUUGCUCUUCUUGGAUGAGUUGCGAACGGGUGAGUAACGCGUAGGUAACCUGCCUGGUAGCGGGGGAUAACUAUUGGAAACGAUAGCUAAUACCGCAUAAAAUGGAUUAUCGCAUGAUAAUCCAUUGAAAGGUGCAAAUGCAUCACUACCAGAUGGACCUGCGUUGUAUUAGCUAGUUGGUGGGGUAACGGCUCACCAAGGCGACGAUACAUAGCCGACCUGAGAGGGUGAUCGGCCACACUGGGACUGAGACACGGCCCAGACUCCUACGGGAGGCAGCAGUAGGGAAUCUUCGGCAAUGGACGGAAGUCUGACCGAGCAAAGCCGCGUGAGUGAAGAAGGUUUUCGGAUCGUAAAGCUCUGUUGUAAGAGAAGAACGAGUGUGAGAGUGGAAAGUUCACACUGUGACGGUAUCUUACCAGAAAGGGACGGCUAACUACGUG